Molecule: ribosomal RNA, 253 nt
Filed under: uncultured bacterium
Lineage: Bacteria
Description: partial 16S ribosomal RNA
Rfam family: Bacterial small subunit ribosomal RNA
Source: RNAcentral
UACGGGGGGGGUAAGCGUUGUUCGGAAUUACUGGGCGUAAAGGGCUCGUAGGCGGCCAACUAAGUCGGACGUGAAAUCCCUCAGCUUAACUGGGGAACUGUGUCUGAUACUGGAUGGCUUGGAUUUGGGAGAGGGAUGCGGAAUUCCAGGUGUAGCGGUGAAAUGCGUAGAUAUCUGGAGGAACACCGGUGGCGAAGGCGGCAUCCUGGACCAACAUUGACGCUGAGGAGCGAAAGCCAGGGGAGCAAACGGG